This is a small nucleolar RNA of Megalobrama amblycephala (Wuchang bream), 64 nucleotides long. RefSeq annotates it as small nucleolar RNA SNORD37. The record is from RefSeq and is a predicted model, not a curated record. The transcript has a single exon. Lineage: Eukaryota; Metazoa; Chordata; Actinopteri; Cypriniformes; Xenocyprididae.
AUUAAUGAUGAUUUAAACAUUCUUCACUUUGACCUGAUUUUCUUGAUGAAAAAUCUGUCUGAUA